This is a non-coding RNA of Acanthosepion pharaonis, 98 nucleotides long. Lineage: Eukaryota; Metazoa; Mollusca; Cephalopoda; Sepiida; Sepiidae. The record is from the annotation of a GenBank genome assembly.
UUACGGCCAUAUCAUGUUGAAACAUCGGUUCCCGUACGAUCACUGAGGUCAAGCAACGUCGAGCCUGGUCAGUACCGAUAUGGGUGACCGUUUUCGAA